Molecule: ribosomal RNA, 237 nt
Filed under: uncultured bacterium
Lineage: Bacteria
Description: partial 16S ribosomal RNA
Rfam family: Bacterial small subunit ribosomal RNA
Source: RNAcentral
AUAGGCCUACGGGGCGCAGCAGUAGGGAAUCUUCCACAAUGGACGAAAGUCUGAUGGAGCAACGCCGCGUGAGUGAAGAAGGGUUUCGGCUCGUAAAGCUCUGUUGGUAGUGAAGAAAGAUAGAGGUAGUAACUGGCCUUUAUUUGACGGUAAUUACUUUGAAAGUCACGGCUAACUACGUGCCAGCAGCCGCGGUAAUACGGAGGGGGCAAGCGUUGUCCGGAUUUAUUGGGCGUA